GACGUAGGGCGCGAGCGUUGUCCGGAUUUAUUGGGCGUAAAGAGCUCGUAGGCGGCUUGUCGCGUCGACUGUGAAAGCCCGCGGCUCAACCGCGGGUCUGCAGUCGAUACGGGCAGGCUAGAGUUCGGUAGGGGAGACUGGAAUUCCUGGUGUAGCGGUGAAAUGCGCAGAUAUCAGGAGGAACACCGAUGGCGAAGGCAGGUCUCUGGGCCGAUACUGACGCUGAGGGGCGAAAGCGUGGGGAGCGAACAGG
This 253-nucleotide ribosomal RNA is filed under the name uncultured bacterium. RNAcentral's name for it is "partial 16S ribosomal RNA". It matches the Rfam family "Bacterial small subunit ribosomal RNA", at positions 524 to 776 of the family's 1533-position model. The record is from RNAcentral.